CGGGGUACCAUCGUUCUAUGCA
RNAcentral lists this microRNA (22 nucleotides) under Ascaris suum (pig roundworm). RNAcentral describes it as "Asu-Novel-7_5p (mature (guide))". The record is from RNAcentral. Lineage: Eukaryota; Metazoa; Nematoda; Chromadorea; Rhabditida; Ascarididae.